GGAUGAGUGGCUGAGUGGUUGAAAGCAGCAAGUUAACAACUUGUAGGGCGUCCGCGCGUCCCGUGGGUUCGAAUCCCAUCUCAUCCACCA
Molecule: transfer RNA, 90 nt
Filed under: Paracoccaceae bacterium
Lineage: Bacteria; Pseudomonadati; Pseudomonadota; Alphaproteobacteria; Rhodobacterales; Paracoccaceae
Description: Rhodobacteraceae bacterium tRNA-Val
Rfam family: tRNA
About the family: Transfer RNA (tRNA) molecules are approximately 80 nucleotides in length.
Source: RNAcentral